CUUCCGCCCUCCCCGCACAGGAGGACGGAUCGAGGUAACCCGCGCGCUCUGCCCUGACCGCGCAGGCUCCUCCCACCGGCCGGAGGGAACCGCACACCCGCCGGCCGUAAGUACUCCGGGCUACGGUGCCGGGCGGGUCGAGGGUCCCGUCCUGCACC
RNAcentral lists this non-coding RNA (158 nucleotides) under Streptomyces sp. WM4235. Its description in RNAcentral is "Streptomyces sRNA scr5239". It matches the Rfam family "Streptomyces sRNA scr5239". From Rfam's summary of the family: It inhibits agarase DagA expression by direct base pairing to the dagA coding region, and it represses translation of methionine synthase metE (SCO0985) at the 5' end of its open reading frame. Lineage: Bacteria; Bacillati; Actinomycetota; Actinomycetes; Kitasatosporales; Streptomycetaceae. The record is from Rfam by way of RNAcentral.